Molecule: RNA transcript, 1101 nt
Organism: Nannospalax galili (Upper Galilee mountains blind mole rat)
Lineage: Eukaryota; Metazoa; Chordata; Mammalia; Rodentia; Spalacidae
Gene name: atherin-like
Exons: 3
Source: RefSeq, a predicted model, not a curated record
GGGGAGGACCAACUGGUUGAAUGGAUGUGUGAAGCUGUAGAGCACCGAGCACGCUGUUCUCUGACAUGGUGCAAGGAGUAAGGAGUAAGACAUGUGCAUCUUUGGAACUGGCCUGCUGGUUAGCCAGUCCAGCCUACUUGGUGAGCUCCAGACCAGCGAGUGAUCCUGUCUCAAGGGAAAGGUGGAUGGUGCUUGAGGAACAACACCUGAGGUUUUCUGGUCUCUAUAUGCACAGGGAGGAGCUUCACAAUCGCCUAUUGACCGGGCACCUGUUCCUGCCCCAGACGCUAUGCAAAUGCCGACCAGGAGCGAAGCCGCCAGCCCCUCGGGCCAUUGUGCAUUGAACCCUGAUGGCGCCCUGCCAGCUCCCAGCCGGCCUUUGUUCCCCGGCUGCGCUGCGCCACCCCCGCCACCGCCUCCGCCCGCCCGAGGUGCCCUGCCGAGGAGCCGCCCGCUGACAGCCACUUGGGUCCUUGCACCUGAAGAAAGGCCUGGCAAGCUGGAGGCCUGGCCCACGCUGAGGCUGGGCCAGGGGCCCGGAGAGAGGAGACGGGCAGCUCGCGGCCUGGGCCCAUCGCAUCCUGUCCCCAGGGACCCCGGAGAAGGGGCCUGGCAGGCGGUGGAGGGGGCAACCCGGACCAUGCCAUCUGGGGGCGGAGAGAUUAUAAUAAUCGCUCUCACAUCUGCUGAGGGCUUUCCCGCCGCAAAGCCCUCUCAGGGCUGGUCUCCCUGCAGGCACACCUGCCCCUGGAGGAGGCCUGGCUACGAUUGUGCCUUUCAUGCAGGAGGGAUUGCGGUCCCCAGCGGGGAGCUGGCUGAGGUCGCAGAGUGGGGAGGAGGCUCAAAUCCAGGGCUGCGGAUGUCUCUGCCUCCCAGACUUUAGGCACAGGGCUUGGCUUCUCUCCUUCAUCUCAUCCACCUAUCCUUCAGCUUGGCAGUGACGCCUCUGCUCCAGGAUGCAAUGCCCUGCAAUACCCUGCAGAGCACGGCCAUCAGCCUUUCAUCUCUUCUGGACUCUGGUUUUACCAUUGUAACUGGAUUUUUUAGGCUGCUCUGGCAGCUCCAACAGGCUAGGCUUGGUCACCCAUCCCAGGACACCAA